AUACGGAGGGUGCAAGCGUUACUCGGAAUCACUGGGCGUAAAGCGCGCGCAGGCGGUUUGAUAAGUUGGAUGUGAAAUCCUAUGGCUCAACCAUAGAACUGCAUCCAAAACUGUCAAACUAGAGUCUGGGAGAGGAAGAUGGAAUUAGUUGUGUAGGGGUAAAAUCCGUAGAGAUAACUAGGAAUACCAAAAGCGAAGGCGAUCUUCUGGAACAGUACUGACGCUGAGGCGCGAAAGCGUGGGGAGCAAACAGGAUUAGAAACCCGGGUAGUCC
Molecule: ribosomal RNA, 274 nt
Filed under: uncultured bacterium
Lineage: Bacteria
Description: partial 16S ribosomal RNA
Rfam family: Bacterial small subunit ribosomal RNA
Source: RNAcentral